GAUGAACGCUGGCGGCGUGCCUAAUACAUGCAAGUCGAGCGAACAGACGAGGAGCUUGCUCCUCUGACGUUAGCGGCGGACGGGUGAGUAACACGUGGAUAACCUACCUAUAAGACUGGGAUAACUUCGGGAAACCGGAGCUAAUACCGGAUAAUAUAUUGAACCGCAUGGUUCAAUAGUGAAAUACGGUUUUGCUGUCACUUAUAGAUGGAUCCGCGCCGCAUUAGCUAGUUGGUAAGGUAACGGCUUACCAAGGCAACGAUGCGUAGCCGACCUGAGAGGGUGAUCGGCCACACUGGAACUGGGACACGGUCCAGACUCCUACGAGAGGCAGCAGUAGGGAAUCUUCCGCAAUGGGCGAAAGCCUGACGGAGCAACGCCGCGUGAGUGAUGAAGGUCUUCGGAUCGUAAAACUCUGUUAUUAGGGAAGAACAAAUGUGUAAGUAACUAUGCACGUCUCGACGGUACCUAAUCAGAAAGCCACGGCUAACUACGUG
RNAcentral lists this ribosomal RNA (497 nucleotides) under uncultured bacterium. Its description in RNAcentral is "partial 16S ribosomal RNA". It matches the Rfam family "Bacterial small subunit ribosomal RNA", at positions 28 to 507 of the family's 1533-position model. The record is from RNAcentral.